GCAUUGCGAACACGUCUGAAGGUCUGUGAAGAAGGUGUCUGAGGAAACAGGUUUAGUUUAGCACAGAUUGGGAGCUCUUUUGUCAGCACUGAGGAAGUAGGAACUGCCACAGGUCACGAUGAGGCAGCUUAAGCACAGGUAUGAAGCCCUGGCUCUGUCAACACUGAGAAGGCAAAGCUGUCUGUCUGCCAGUGCUGAGGAGACAGGAGCUGACGGAUGACAGAGGUAUGAGGCCUUUGGUCUGCCAGGAAGAAAAGGCCAACCCUGGUAACAUCUCUGGCAAUGGCUUUGAUCGGUGUCGUGUGGAGAGUCACUACCACUGGGCUGCUGACUCUAGAAGAGUUGUGUUGGGUCAAGCCCUACAGGCUGUACCCAUGGAAGAGUGGCUUUGCUGGAACAGGUGUGGCCGGAGGGAGGGGUAGGGUGUGCCUACCCUCCUUCAAUGCCCUCUCCUUCUCUCCUAGUGGGUAGGUGGCCGCUACUCGCUGUGGUCAGCCAUUGGACUCUCCAUCGCUCUGCAUGUGGGUUUUGACCACUUUGAACAGCUGCUGUCCGGGGCUCACUGGAUGGACCAGC
Molecule: long non-coding RNA, 576 nt
Filed under: Rattus norvegicus (Norway rat)
Lineage: Eukaryota; Metazoa; Chordata; Mammalia; Rodentia; Muridae
Description: long non-coding RNA NONRATT002544
Source: RNAcentral